UACAGAGGGGGCAAGCGUUAUUCGGAAUUAUUGGGCGUAACGGGCGCGUAGGCGGCCUGGCAAGUGGAAGGUGAAAUCCCUCGGCUUAACCGAGGAACUGCCCUCCAAACUGCUUGGCUUGAGUCCGGGAGAGGUGAGUGGAAUUCCCAGUGUAGCGGUGAAAUGCGUAGAUAUUGGGAGGAACACCAGUGGCGAAGGCGGCUCACUGGACCGGAACUGACGCUGAGGCGCGAAAGCGUGGGGAGCAAACGGG
This 253-nucleotide ribosomal RNA is filed under the name uncultured bacterium. RNAcentral's name for it is "partial 16S ribosomal RNA". It matches the Rfam family "Bacterial small subunit ribosomal RNA", at positions 524 to 776 of the family's 1533-position model. The record is from RNAcentral.